UGGUCAUUUCAAAGAAGGCCCGUGGAGUUGUAAAACCAAGAGCUCUUAACACUGUGACCAAAUAUUGAAGUUCUCUAUAGAAUGAUACAACACUAAACAGUUUUCCUGAGGAGAAGUACAA
Small nucleolar RNA from Prolemur simus (greater bamboo lemur), 121 nucleotides. NCBI's taxonomy places the organism in Eukaryota, Metazoa, Chordata, Mammalia, Primates, Lemuridae. The record is from Ensembl.